UCAUGACAACAGAACUUCAACGAUGACUUUGAUCAUGAGCUUUUUGUGGAUAUUGAUGUUCUUCAUUCAGGAAUCCAGAGGACAGGUCACUGUGACUCAGACUCCUACAGUGAAAGCUGUUCUCCCAGAAAAUACAGUUAUUAUAAACUGUAAAACCAGUGUGACUGUAUAUGAUGGUUGUACUGGGUCUCAUACCUGUAUGGCCUGGUACCAACAGAAACCUGGAGGAGCUCCUAAACUCCUGAUGCACUCUUCAAACCAACGUCAGUCUGGGAUUCCAUCUAGAUUCAGUGGCAGUGGAUCUGGGAGUGACUUCACUCUGACCAUCAGUGGAGUCCAGGCUGAAGAUGCAGGAGAUUACUACUGUCAGAGUUUCCACUACAUCAAUAGUAAAAAUGUGUUCACACAGUGA
Salvelinus fontinalis (brook trout) is the source of this 412-nucleotide non-coding RNA. The record is from the annotation of a RefSeq genome assembly. NCBI's taxonomy places the organism in Eukaryota, Metazoa, Chordata, Actinopteri, Salmoniformes, Salmonidae.